GUGCUGAUUUGCUUAUUGCACCACAUGUGUUUUUCUUUGAAACAAACUUGCUUUGGCGGUGGGCCCAGCCUGCCGCCAGAGGUCUAAACUUGCAACCAAUUUUUUAUCAACUUGUCACACCAGAUUAUUACUAAUAGUCAAAACUUUCAACAACGGAUCUCUUGGUUCUCGCAUCGAUGAAGAACGCAGCGAAAUGCGAUACGUAAUAUGAAUUGCAGAUAUUCGUGAAUCAUCGAAUUUUUGAACGCACAUUGCGCCCUCUGGUAUUCCGGAGGGCAUGCCUGUUUGAGCGUCGUUUCUCCCUCAAACCGCUGGGUUUGGUGUUGAGCAAUACGACUUGGGUUUGCUUGAAAGACGGUAGUGGUAAGGCGGGAUCGCUUUGACAAUGGCUUAGGUCUAACCAAAAACAUUGCUUGCGGCGGUAACGUCUACCACGUAUAUCUUCAAACUUUGACCUCAAAUCAGGUAGGACUACCCGCUGAACUUAAGCAUAUCAAAA
Molecule: ribosomal RNA, 499 nt
Filed under: Candida albicans
Lineage: Eukaryota; Fungi; Ascomycota; Pichiomycetes; Serinales; Debaryomycetaceae
Description: eukaryotic LSU rRNA
Rfam family: 5.8S ribosomal RNA (bases 142-295)
Source: RNAcentral